AGUGGGUAGCACAGUGAUUGAUUGACAUAGGUGAUGUCCUUGUGGAUGUCUAGAUGAAUCAGUCCUGUAAAGUUUGAGCUUUAGUUAUAUUCCCUUUCAGAGCUGUUUAGUGGUAGUACGUAACUGCGCAUUAACAUCAUCAUGGGUCAGAUAGCAUAUCUUUGUCAUAGACUCCCUCUUAAAUUCAGAAACUCCUCAGACACUACUGCUUUAAUCUUUUUGCAUCAAGUGGUGAAGAUUUACCAUCGGUGUACAAAGUGCACCCAUAUCUUCCUCCUGGAGCCACUGCUUCAUACAAUAACUUACAAUGCCUAACACACCCAUGUUUAGAAAGUAGAACUUCUGCUACUAAGUUGCCAAAAGUUCUGUUAAUAUAUCAAGAACAUACUUUUUUUUUUAAUAAAGCUAACCAAAAGGCUUAUGUAAGUUGUGAAAUUAAUCUUUGCCUUUAUCUCAUGUUGUGAGAAAGCUCAAAGCUUGAGUGUCCUUUAAUACAUUAUUUAUUCUUGGAAAAAAAUAUUUUGAGUAACUUGGCUCUGAGUGGCAACCAAGAUAAAAGAAAACUCAGUUCCUACUGUUCUGCUGGUCUUUAUGACUUUAAACUGUACGCACCAUUGCUCAUGCUACAGCCCUUUAAAAAUGUUACUUUUUAUAGUAAAUUCAUCUCUUGGUAUCAUUUUGCUCAUGUUACUUAGGUUUGUAACUAUUUUUCUUAUCUCCCAUCAGAUUUUGCAGUAUCGCUUGGCUCGCAAUGGUGUGCAAACAAAGUUAACGUCACAUAUGAACCUGACCUGUUGUGUCCUCUGUCAGUUUGCUGAAGUUCACCUGCUGUCUAAAAGCUGUACACUAGUCUCUGUUCUUUCACGAAAAUACAAAUUCUAAAAUUAAAGUUUCAGCACAGAAUUUAUUCUGCCUGCUUAUCUGAUUGACAACAUACCCUACUGACUCAUACACCAUCUGCUAAAGACAUCAGCAAGGACUGUUGCUAAGUGAAUGUCAAUGAUUUAUUACAUAUUGAGCUUCUGGAUGGUUAUUCUUAAAGGACAGGCAGAAAUCUAUUCCUAGCAAUUCAGAAGCAAAAUUAUGAAUAUACUAUAGUUUUACUCCCAUGCUGAUCAGGUAGGACUGUGUUCUGAUAAUGUCAACAUCCGUAGAGUUUGGUUUUGCAUCUCUUAUCACUUUCUACAAGGUCAAAGAAAAAUAAGAAUUCUUUAGAAUUACUAAGUGGGCGCUGCUACCCAAUCUCAGAUUCUCCAGAUAGAAAUCAGUCUUCUCUCUUCAAGGAUCAACUCAUAAUUUGUCGGGAGUAAUUCAGUCUAAUGCAGAACAAAUUAAUUCUUAGAGAAAUUCAACAGCAAUGAGUGGCUCCCUAGCAACUCUAGCUUGCCACUUGCUCCAUUGUAAUCUUGGCCUAUAGUCACCAACAUGUCAGGACACUGUACUGAGCAGUACCACCAGCACCCCCCUUAUUGAGAGGUUGGCAUCAAUUUUCAUCCUGGCAGUGGCAAGUACUCCUAUCACUGAGGGAGUGCAAGA
Molecule: long non-coding RNA, 1536 nt
Organism: Chiloscyllium plagiosum (whitespotted bambooshark)
Lineage: Eukaryota; Metazoa; Chordata; Chondrichthyes; Orectolobiformes; Hemiscylliidae
Source: RefSeq, a predicted model, not a curated record